RNAcentral lists this long non-coding RNA (406 nucleotides) under Bos taurus (domestic cattle). RNAcentral describes it as "long non-coding RNA NONBTAT008940". The record is from RNAcentral. Lineage: Eukaryota; Metazoa; Chordata; Mammalia; Artiodactyla; Bovidae.
UAAAAAUAUACCAAGGUUAGGCCGUUAGUGGCUCCUGGUAUAUUAUUUUGGCUGAAGUUCCUCCAUUACCCAAGAUAACAAUCGUUGGGGAAUGUGAUUUCUAAAGAUAGUCAUGGAUGGCAUCAGUUGUAAAGCAACUAGAAAACAGGCGGAGUUCCUCAGUGAGCUAUGAAGAAUGAAAGGGAGCCUGGGGGGAGCUUUUCCAGGUUUUAGAAAUGGCCCCUGGUUUCCUCUACUUGUUUUCGAAAAAAUUUCAUAUUUUAAAUUAAGUCAGUCAAUCCUAUCACAUGGAUCAUAUUGACAACAUGAUAGGGGUUUCAUUGUGAAUUCUGUUGUUGAUAACUGGAAUUUUGAAAUUAUUCGAACCACGGCAAGAUGCAAGAGAAGAAGUUGUAUCUGAGAAUCA